RNAcentral lists this ribosomal RNA (423 nucleotides) under uncultured bacterium. RNAcentral describes it as "partial 16S ribosomal RNA". The record is from RNAcentral.
AAAAAAGAAAAAAAACGUAAAAAAAGAAAAAAAGAAAAAAAAAAAAAAAAAAAAAAAAGGAAAAAAGAAAAAAAGGAAAAAAAAGAAAAAAAGAAAAAAAAGAAAAAAAGAAAAAAAGAAAAAAAAGAAAAAAAGAAAAAAAGAAAAAAACGAAAAAAGAAAAAAGAAAAAAAGUAAAAAACAUUAUCGUCUUGUCGACGAAAGAUUUGGAUGGAAUCGCCAAUAGUAAUUUGACAAACUUCUUUGAUGAAGUCUUUUGGUGUUCCUUUGGUGUUCCUGGAACUUGCUUGUCACAUGUCUCGCAGAAAAAUGAUCCCUUUUUUAUGGAAUAAAUAAUAAUAAUAAAUUACAAAAUAAUUAACUAGAUAUGGAUAUAUAUGUGAAAGAUCAAUGAAAACAACCUCUGAAAAUUUUCUUUUGGAU